CGCAGUGCGGGUGCUAUACAUGCAGUCGAGCGGACAGAUGGGAGCUUGCUCCCUGAUGUUAGCGGCGGACGGGUGAGUAACACGUGGGUAACCUGCCUGUAAGACUGGGAUAACUCCGGGAAACCGGGGCUAAUACCGGAUGGUUGUUUGAACCGCAUGGUUCAAACAUAAAAGGUGGCUUCGGCUACCACUUACAGAUGGACCCGCGGCGCAUUAGCUAGUUGGUGAGGUAACGGCUCACCAAGGCAACGAUGCGUAGCCGACCUGAGAGGGUGAUCGGCCACACUGGGACUGAGACACGGCCCAGACUCCUACGGGAGGCAGCAGUAGGGAAUCUUCCGCAAUGGACGAAAGUCUGACGGAGCAACGCCGCGUGAGUGAUGAAGGUUUUCGGAUCGUAAAGCUCUGUUGUUAGGGAAGAACAAGUACCGUUCGAAUAGGGCGGUACCUUGACGGUACCUAACCAGAAAGCCACGGCUAACUACGUGCCAGCAGCCGCGGUAAUACGUAGGUGGCAAGCGUUGUCCGGAAUUAUUGGGCGUAAAGGGCUCGCAGGCGGUUUCUUAAGUCUGAUGUGAAAGCCCCCGGCUCAACCGGGGAGGGUCAUUGGAAACUGGGGAACUUGAGUGCAGAAGAGGAGAGUGGAAUUCCACGUGUAGCGGUGAAAUGCGUAGAGAUGUGGAGGAACACCAGUGGCGAAGGCGACUCUCUGGUCUGUAACUGACGCUGAGGAGCGAAAGCGUGGGGAGCGAACAGGAUUAGAUACCCUGGUAGUCCACGCCGUAAACGAUGAGUGCUAAGUGUUAGGGGGUUUCCGCCCCUUAGUGCUGCAGCUAACGCAUUAAGCACUCCGCCUGGGGAGUACGGUCGCAAGACUGAAACUCAAAGGAAUUGACGGGGGCCCGCACAAGCGGUGGAGCAUGUGGUUUAAUUCGAAGCAACGCGAAGAACCUUACCAGGUCUUGACAUCCUCUGACAAUCCUAGAGAUAGGACGUCCCCUUCGGGGGCAGAGUGACAGGUGGUGCAUGGUUGUCGUCAGCUCGUGUCCUGAGAUGUUGGGUUAAGUCCCGCAACGAGCGCAACCCUUGAUCUUAGUUGCCAGCAUUCAGUUGGGCACUCUAAGGUGACUGCCGGUGACAAACCGGAGGAAGGUGGGGAUGACGUCAAAUCCUCCUGCCCCUUUUUUCA
RNAcentral lists this ribosomal RNA (1189 nucleotides) under Bacillus subtilis. RNAcentral's name for it is "bacterial SSU rRNA". It matches the Rfam family "Bacterial small subunit ribosomal RNA", at positions 34 to 1209 of the family's 1533-position model. The record is from RNAcentral. Lineage: Bacteria; Bacillati; Bacillota; Bacilli; Caryophanales; Bacillaceae.